Molecule: ribosomal RNA, 533 nt
Filed under: Solea solea (common sole)
Lineage: Eukaryota; Metazoa; Chordata; Actinopteri; Pleuronectiformes; Soleidae
Description: partial small subunit ribosomal RNA
Rfam family: Bacterial small subunit ribosomal RNA
Source: RNAcentral
CAAAGGCUUGGUCCUGACUUUAUUGUCAGCUCUAGCUAUACUUACACAUGCAAGUCUCCGCACCCCCGUGAGAAUGCCCGCGCUCCCUUAUGAGAACUCGGAGCAGGUAUCAGGCACACCCUAGUAGCCCACGACACCUUGCUUAGCCACACCCCCAAGGGAUUUCAGCAGUGAUAAAUAUUAAGCCAUAAGUGAAAACUUGACUUAAUUAAGGCCAAGAGAGCCGGUAAAACUCGUGCCAGCCACCGCGGUGAGACGAGAGGCUCAAGUUGACAAACACGGCACAAAGCGUGGUUAAGGAAUUUUACAGACUAAAGUUAAACGCUUCCAAAGCUGUUAUACGCACUCGAAAGUAUGAAAUUCAACCACGAAAGUAACUUUAACACCCCUGAACCCACGAAAGCUAAGGAACAAACUGGGAUUAGAUACCCCACUAUGCUUAGCCAUAAACAUCGAUCUUUACACAAAAAUCCGCCCGGGAACUACAAACACGAGUUUAAAACCCAAAGGACUUGGCGGUGCUUAACAUCCAC